AAUUAAUGUUUUCGAUGGCUCCAUCAGAAUUGUUGUCACUGUUCUCGGUUUCGCAACAGAUGCCGCUGUUUCGCAACCUAUCGAGAGCUGAGGAAGUAACAUAACUCCUCAGCUGCAUACAUCGGGACAUGACUUACAGUGGCCGAAGAGGAAUGUGAUACAACUAGACGGCAUAUAUGUGCUUCAGCUGAAUUUGUCAUCUCUAAAUCUCUACAUGUCUGAGAACAACCAUGGAGAGGAACACUACAGAGGAGCUGUUGGAAUCGCAGAGGAGAUUGGCAAGCUUUGUCUCUUUUUCACAUGUAAGUACUAUUAUGGUUAAAUUUGAAUAUAGGUACCUCUGCUUAUGGAACAAAAUAGUAUAUUACAGUUCAUGAUCGAGCUUAAUGUGAAAAUGGGGAUUUGGAAGAAAGCUUUAGUACUUUUUCUCAGACAUUCAAGCUUUAGUACCAAAAUGUAGUGGAAAGCCAUUCAAGCUCCAAUUUCGUACCUUCAUGUAGUCCCUUAACUGAGAAAUCUUGCUUUCCACGAAACUUUCUUUGACUUUUGUAAGAUCCAUAUCUCGAAAAUCGUGUAAGAUUUCAUAGAUUAUCUCCAAUAAUUUUGAACGGUCUUUCAUCGACGUUGCCACACAAUUCUUAGAAAUAUCUCAAUGCUUGCCGAUAAUUUUUCGAAAAUCGUGCAUGAAUUCUGGCUUCACUUCAUAUCCAUAAACCACCGUGUCUUCAGGCUGGCUUUGUUAGAAAUGAAGUGGUUGCCAUGUUGAGAAAUGACGAUGGUGAUGGGUUCAUUCAGAAGUACAAAGCUAGCCUGAAGACACGAUUCAUAGAUAUGAAGUGCAGCAAGAAUUCAUGCCUAUAUUAAGAAAAAUUAUCUUCAAUCAUGGUGAUAUUUCUAAUUAUUGUGUGGCAAGGUCGGUGAAAGACCGUUCAAAAUUAUUGGAGAUAAUCAGUGAAAUCUUACACGAUUUUUGAGAUAUGGAUCUUACAAAAGACAAAGAAAGUUUCGUGGAAAGCAAGAUUUCUCUUGUUAAGGGACUACAUGAAUGUACGAAAUUGGAGCUUGAAUGGCUUUCCACGAGUCUAGCUGAGGUACUUGGCGCAAUUAAAAUUCUGGAUAAAUUUGAUAUUCUAGAAGAGAAAAGAGACAAUAAUAGCAAGCUCCUUGAAGAUGCUGAGAGUGAAUCGGAAGUUUUUCAAGAACAGCAGAAAGUAGUGACAGAGAAAUGAAGGAAUUGUCAGAGAAGAUGAGAGAAUUGUUAGUGAAUUUGGAAGAUAUAUGCGUUAAAGAGACUGCUUGCAAAGAAAGAUUGACCGCAGCAAAGAAUGAGUCUACCUCGAUAUCUCAAACAAACCGGAACGGAUAUUUGAUGGAUUGAGUCUUGGAGCAAAAGAAAGGGAUUUGGAGUUGAUUCGGU
Medicago truncatula (barrel medic) is the source of this 1417-nucleotide long non-coding RNA. RefSeq lists it as uncharacterized. The transcript is spliced from 3 exons. The record is from RefSeq and is a predicted model, not a curated record. Lineage: Eukaryota; Viridiplantae; Streptophyta; Magnoliopsida; Fabales; Fabaceae.